RNAcentral lists this ribosomal RNA (431 nucleotides) under uncultured bacterium. RNAcentral's name for it is "bacterial SSU rRNA". It matches the Rfam family "Bacterial small subunit ribosomal RNA", at positions 354 to 796 of the family's 1533-position model. RNAcentral also lists the same sequence under 1 other name. The record is from RNAcentral.
GUGGGGAAUAUUGCACAAUGGGCGCAAGCCUGAUGCAGCAACGCCGCGUGCGGGAUGACGGCCUUCGGGUUGUAAACCGCUUUCAGCAGGGACGAAGCUUUUUGUGACGGUACCUGCAGAAGAAGCACCGGCUAACUACGUGCCAGCAGCCGCGGUGAUACGUAGGGUGCGAGCGUUGUCCGGAUUUAUUGGGCGUAAAGGGCUCGUAGGCGGUUGAUCGCGUCGGAAGUGGAAACUUGAUGCUUAACGUUGAGCGUGCUUUCGAUACGGGUUGACUUGAGGAAGGUAGGGGAGAAUGGAAUUCCUGGUGGAGCGGUGGAAUGCGCAGAUAUCAGGAGGAACACCAGUGGCGAAGGCGGUUCUCUGGACCUUUCCUGACGCUGAGGAGCGAAAGCGUGGGGAGCGAACAGGCUUAGAUACCCUAGUAGUCC